RNAcentral lists this long non-coding RNA (545 nucleotides) under Lathyrus oleraceus (garden pea). RNAcentral's name for it is "Pisum sativum (pea) long non-coding RNA (PSAT_LNC005331)". Lineage: Eukaryota; Viridiplantae; Streptophyta; Magnoliopsida; Fabales; Fabaceae. The record is from RNAcentral.
UAUGAUUUUUAUAGUUUAAAAAAAUGGUUUUGAACUAAAUUAAAAUACAACAACUUUACAUUAUUAACAAAAUGAACAUAUGAGUGUAAUAAACAUAAAAAAGAUAUUAAUCAACAUACUAAAAGAAUAAAAAAAUGCUAAAAGAAAAAUAAUAUAACUAAGAGAAAUAAAAAUGCCAAAAAAUGCCACACAUGAGUGUUGAACCCACCCCACUCAAGAAUAUGCACACUGCCCUUCUCCACCAGACCACUCAGGGUUAUCUACUACUAAGACACUACAUUAAAUAUAUGAACCGGGCUAAAAAACAAAAAAAUAAAUAACAUAUAAACAUUUUAUAUUUCUCUUUAUCUCUGUUAAGACUCAGUAAAAUAAACUAAAAAAUAAAAAUAAAAAAAAAUAAAAAUAAAAAAUUAAAUUAAAAAAGAAAAGAAAGAAAAUAAAUGAAAACGAAAGAAAAACAACAGAGGUUCGUCUUCCUCCCUCCCUCUCGCAUCUCACCAGAAAAAACCACUCAAUCGCUCUCUCGCCCAUGUCGCUCAACCUCA